AACAGGAUUAGAUACCCUGGUAGUCCACGCCGUAAACGAUGAGUGCUAAGUGUUAGGGGGUUUCCGCCCCUUAGUGCUGCAGCUAACGCAUUAAGCACUCCGCCUGGGGAGUACGGCCGCAAGGCUGAAACUCAAAGGAAUUGACGGGGGCCCGCACAAGCGGUGGAGCAUGUGGUUUAAUUCGAAGCAACGCGAAGAACCUUACCAGGUCUUGACAUCCCGCUGACCGCCCAGGAGACUGGGCUUUCCCUUCGGGGACAGCGGUGACAGGUGGUGCAUGGUUGUCGUCAGCUCGUGUCGUGAGAUGUUGGGUUAAGUCCCGCAACGAGCGCAACCCUUGAUCUUAGUUGCCAGCAUUCAGUUGGGCACUCUAAGGUGACUGCCGGUGACAAACCGGAGGAAGGUGGGGAUGACGUCAAAUCAUCAUGCCCCUUAUGACCUGGGCUACACACGUGCUACAAUGGACGGUACAAAGGGCUGCCAACCCGCGAGGGGGAGCCAAUCCCAGAAAACCGUUCUCAGUUCGGAUUGCAGGCUGCAACUCGCCUGCAUGAAGCCGGAAUCGCUAGUAAUCGUGGAUCAGCAUGCCACGGUGAAUACGUUCCCGGGCCUUGUACACACCGCCCGUCACACCACGAGAGUUUGUAACACCCGAAGUCGGUGAGGUAACCACUUGUGGAGCCAGCCGCCGAAGGUGGGACAGAUGAUUGGGGUGAAGUCGUAACAAGGUAACC
This 734-nucleotide ribosomal RNA is filed under the name uncultured bacterium. Its description in RNAcentral is "bacterial SSU rRNA". It matches the Rfam family "Bacterial small subunit ribosomal RNA", at positions 771 to 1501 of the family's 1533-position model. The record is from RNAcentral.